Molecule: long non-coding RNA, 1186 nt
Organism: Medicago truncatula (barrel medic)
Lineage: Eukaryota; Viridiplantae; Streptophyta; Magnoliopsida; Fabales; Fabaceae
Exons: 4
Source: RefSeq, a predicted model, not a curated record
AAAUAUUAGUAAACAAACUACCGCUCCAUCUUCUCUAAAAAAACUAUCGCUCCAUCUAUCCAAAUUCUCUCUUCACUUCCUGUCUCUCUCUCUCUGCAUGAAAUUUGCUCCAUCUAUCCCUCACCGAGUCAAGUUUGGAUCUCCGAUCCCUCACCGCCGCCGCAAACCACCGCUUCCAGCGAAGAUGAUAGCAAUUUCAGUUACGGUUUGCUAUUCACUUUCGGUCAAUUCCGUGAUUUCUUCUGAAAAAUCUUCUACUGGUGCAGUUCUAAUAAUCUUAAGAGGGUUAUGCACCGAUCUGUUUAGGUCUUGAAGAUUUUUAUAUUCGUAUCCCUCUCUCUGCGAUGUGCAUGGCUGAAAAUUUUGAGAUAGAAUUGACAUCAUAACGAAGCUAAAAUGAAGGAGAUCGAGUGUGGUUGAUCAUAUUUCUUGAUUGCUGGUUUAGAGGAAGAUAAUACGGUGGCUGUCCCUCUUUGUGAAUGUCAAUGUGACUGUUCGAUUGAGAUGAGAAAGCAGAGGAAAGUGGUUGAUUUUUUUGCUGCAAUCUGGUCUGGAUUCUUUGGUGCUGUCUAUAGUUCAUGGAGAUUUAUUUCUCAUGAUUGCAGCUAUUCAUUAAUCGUGGUUUGAACCAUUUGGGUCCUUUGGCGAACAAUCCAGUGACUGAUUUUGAAAAGGCUGUCAAUAAGUUGCGACGAAAUACAGGUCUUACAUCGUGGAAUAUGACGCUGAAGAGGGCGUUGUGAUGCUUCCCAAUAUGUUUGCGAAAGAUUUUGGGGAUCAAAUCACGCGUUUUGCAACAUUAAUAGAUCCAAAAAACAACAAGUUUGAAGUGCUGGUGGAACGUGUCAAUGGGCAUGUGUUUUUUUUACCAAAGGAUGGAAAGCUCUGCGUGACUUUUAUGGAAUUCGGUUGGGGGCAUGGGUGACACUGGUAUUUGUUGGUAUGAGACAGUUUGCAAUAAUUCUGAAGGCUAGGUUUGGGAAAAAUGUCAAGUGUCCGGUUUUCAAUCUGCCUAUGCAGUUCGUGAUUGACUAAACUUCUGUGCAGCCAACCUUCAACAAUGUUGUCCCCUCUUCACUGUAAGUCUUGCAUAUCGGCACAGCAACACCAACAUGCAGGUUGAUAUGGUGCACAAACUAACUGAUUAUGAUGUCACCAGUGGGUUUUUGGUAUGCAGAGUUUAAUA